Long non-coding RNA from Amblyraja radiata (thorny skate), 139 nucleotides. RefSeq lists it as uncharacterized. The record is from RefSeq and is a predicted model, not a curated record. The transcript is spliced from 3 exons. NCBI's taxonomy places the organism in Eukaryota, Metazoa, Chordata, Chondrichthyes, Rajiformes, Rajidae.
UGUGGGACAGUGCGGGCCAGUGUGGGCCAAUGUGGGAUAGUGUGGGCCAAUGGGACAGUGUGGGCCAAGUGGGACAGUGUGGGCCAAUGUGGGCCAGUGUGGGCCAGUGUGGGCCAGUGUGGGCCAAGUGGGACAGUGU